UACGUAGGGUGCGAGCGUUAAUCGGAAUUACUGGGCGUAAAGCGUGCGCAGGCGGUUCUCCAAGUCCGUUGUGAAAGCCCCGGGCUCAACCUGGGAAUGGCAGUGGAAACUAGGGGACUGGAAUCUGGCAGAGGGGGGUGGAAUGCCGCGUGUAGCAGUGAAAUGCGUAGAUAUGUGGAGGAACACCGAUGGCGAAGGCAGCCCCCUGGGUUAGCACUGACGCUCAUGCACAAAAGCGUGGGGAGCAAACAGG
RNAcentral lists this ribosomal RNA (253 nucleotides) under uncultured bacterium. RNAcentral's name for it is "partial 16S ribosomal RNA". It matches the Rfam family "Bacterial small subunit ribosomal RNA", at positions 524 to 776 of the family's 1533-position model. The record is from RNAcentral.